Long non-coding RNA from Dreissena polymorpha, 5046 nucleotides. RefSeq lists it as uncharacterized. The transcript is spliced from 4 exons. NCBI's taxonomy places the organism in Eukaryota, Metazoa, Mollusca, Bivalvia, Myida, Dreissenidae. The record is from RefSeq and is a predicted model, not a curated record.
UAUGUGAGCGCUUAUUGAGAAGACAAAUCUAGAAUCAUACAAAAGUACGUCACUGCUUUCACGAUUUGUCAUAAAUGGAAUAAAUACACUUGAGUCUCGCACAAAGUACUGUGUCUCGGAGACAUUGAAUAUCAGUAUAAAUUGAUUGCCUUGUGUAUCAUAGAACAGUCUUAUAAAAAGGUUCGUCGGAUUCAAGACCAAACGCCACCAUGAAAACAAAUGUUUGCUUGAUUGCUGUCGCCAUUGUUACGAUGGUAUUUGCGGAGGAUUGUCCAACCAACAACGUUAAUGCAGAAUGGACCCAUAUGACGUGUGCAAACAGUUUUCACAAGGAAUGCAUUAAUGGAAUCUGCACGUGCUCAAAAAAGCUGUUUAAUCCAGGGUUGACCUUCAUUGAACAAUCACAAAUAGAAUGACAACGAUUGUUCCCGCAAGUAGACGCGAACUAAAUCCUAAAAUUGAAUGGGUUAUUUUCGACGAAAUGCUAUUCUCAAAGAAUUACCCGCGUACAUAAACUGGUUUAAAAUCAGUCGUUUUCAUUCUAUAUAAGCUAUCGUGAAUAGAGUUAAUGGAGGGUUCACUUAUAAUUGUAAUUUAUGAUGUGGUCAAUGUUUUUUUUUCUAUAAUAAUAACAUAUGGUUUAAAUACUACUACUAACAAUAUCAACGAAGAUCAAUCCUGCAUGUACAUUUUCGAAAAUUUGGCAGUCAUGUAUGUUUUUUUUUUAAACUUUAGUGAAUUUUAAGUAUUCAAACAGAGCCAUAUUUCUUUUCUGAUUUUUUUAAACGUUGACAAGCGAAUAAAACUUUGAUCGAGGUAGACAGCUUUGUUUGCUUUUUACACAACCUUCUCAAGGAAAUUAUAUGGUAUAUUUUGAGUAGUUGGAAUAUCAACUAAAUGCAUACAAUUAACAUACUUAUAUGUAAUGAUCGGAAGAAAUACGUGAGUUUAUUAGAAGCAAAGAAAGCAAAGGAAAAAAUGAAAGAAACGAGCCGGUGUAUUUUAUCAAAAGGUCGUCUUAGCCUUUCGACCAGACGAACUGCUUUAUUGUGUCACACUAUAUCCAUUUUAUAUUAGCGUUUCUCGUGUGGUCGCAAAAUUGAUGGAACACAACACUAAAAUAUUGCAUAUUUUCGCAUUCGUUUCGCUUCACAAUUUAAGCACUUUGUGAUAAAAAAAAAUUUCAAUUCAUAUCUUCGUCAGUAUUGUGGUUUAACAAUCUGGUGUUAACUGUUCAUUGAAGCAGUCUUUGAUUGAUAUUUGACAAUUCCGCAUCGUGUACCUAUGAGCUUAACUAUUCAUUUAGAGCAUUGAAAUGUGCAAGUUGUGAGAUAUAAUUUUGAGGAAACUAAUAAAGCGUUAUAUUCAGGUAUAAAAAAAAACACUUUUAAAUAAUUUACUUAAAAUACUCAACAAUUAAUGUGUACAUAACACACUAGUAAGGUUUAUAUAACGUUGUCCAGAAAACGGAAGGCGGCUAACGGCGUGAUGAAUCUUAUCAGGAAUGUUCCCCACGGCUCAACAACCCAACCUAUACAGUCCUUACUCUCAAGUUUAGUGUGAACAGGUAUCGCUAGAGACAUGCAAUGUGAUGAACUGGCUGGGGUACGGACCUUGCAUCAGAAAGGCACGGACAGACGGUUACAAGGAGAGUGAUAGGCGUAUGACUGCAGGGGCGUUUGGUAUUUUAAGAUGUGUUACUACAGGUAGCAAAGCUGAGGGUCUUACUAGUGUCUUGGAGAGUGACAUUGAUGUAAUGGUUAUAGUUAGUGGCUUUGUUUGUACAGAAGAUGGUGUCAAUUAUUCAAGCCUGCCAAACGAGAUAGCUGUGUUCAAAAUAUACACCGAUAUAUGUUACCACGGACAUUGCAGACUUCUACUAGAGAGACGCAGUUCAAUGGUUUAUCGAUUCGUGUAAAAAGCCCUGUGUGUCUUUUCUUGAGCAGUGACUUGUAUGUAAAUGUGUUUCAUGGUUUUACUGAUGUUAUUGAAAGUCCAAACGUGGUGCCGCGUGAACGUGCAGGUCCUUCAAUACCAUUUGUUCAUGGGGUUUUACAUUCAGACGUGGUAUGGUCUCUACCAUGUUAUUUAUGUUUACCUUUACUUUCGUCGUUUCAUUAAAGGCUUCUCCUUAAUAGCACGACCUUUGAACAACCUCCUAAUAGGACAUCCGAUGAAAACUGACACAACAUCCAAAAAGAAGUCGAAGAAAGCUCAUUCUGUUUGGACCAGCAUUCAACAAGAAGCAUUUGACCAACUGAAAAAGAAUCUUGUUAAUCAUCCGCUUUUGGCUUAUGCGGACUAUGCACAACCCUAUGAAGUAGAAACCGACGCUUCAUAAAUUGGUCUUGGUGCAGUGUUACGUCAGAAACAAGACGGGGUAAAGAAAGUAAUAGCGUACGAAAGCCUAAAACCUUCAGAAGCAAACUACCCAGCACACACGGAACUCGAUCGUCAGCUAUGCGGGUUGAUGCUUCCCCUACACCAGAGGUCAAAUACCUUCGUGACUGGGAUUCAUUUGUAGUUUUCGAUGGGGUUUUGUAUCGCUCUGCUACAUACAAGGACUACAAAAUACAGACAACUUCUGUUACCAGAGUCAGUUCGCAGUGAGGUGUUCAAGGCACUACACGACGAUCUUAAACAUCAGGGACGAGACCGGACCACUUCCUUAUUCAAACAACGUUUUUAUUGGCCCAGAAUGGAUGCCUACAUCAAGGAGAUGGUCGAUAACUUCCCGAGAUGUAAACUUAAGAAAGGUCGUGGUGACACUGAGUCACUUGUGCCAAUAUACUCAUCAGAACCCGUGGAGAUCGUCUGCAUCGAUUACUUAGGCCUUGAACGUUCGAAAGGGGGUUAUGAACAUAUAUUGGUGGUGACAGAUCAUUUUACCAGAUAUGCCCAGGCGUUUCCGACGAAGAACCAGACAGCAGGGACUACAGCAAAAGUUCUCUUCGAACAAUUCUUUGUUCAUUACGGAUUUCCUAGCCGUAUUCACUGUGACCAAGGUGCGAACUUUGAGAGCGACCUGAUCAAGGAACUAUAGCACAGUCUAGAACAACUCCUUACCACGCAAUGGGCAAUGGUCUCUGUGAAAGAUUCAACCAAACUCUGUUGAAAAUGCUGGGAACAUUACAAGAAACAAAGAAGUCUGAUUGGAAAUCUUACGUGGCACCAAUGACCCACGCAUACAAUGUCACCAUACACGACAGUACCUCGUUUUCACCUUAUUUCUUGAAGUUUGGUCGCCAACCUUAGCUCGCACUCGAAGCAGUUUUAGGCCUGAACAUGCUGACACCAAGGCAAUGUCAAGAAAUGAGUACGACAGAAAGCUCCGUGACAGGUUUGCGUACGCCUACCAGAAAGCCAAGGAAUCGUCCGAAGAAACCGGCAAAGCGAAUAAGUAACGGUACGAUCAAAAAGCUAAGUCUUCUGUUCUUAAGCCUGGUGACAUUGUCUUGGCAAAGAAUGCGACAAUCAGAGGUAAACGCAAGAUUGCCGACAAAUGGGAGUCGGGUCCAUACAUCGUACUAUCCAAGCCCGAUGACAGUAUUCCAGUGUACAAGAUAAAGAAACAGAAUUGCAGAUCAAGAAAGAUCCGAACUGUGCAUUGCAAUCUACUCCUACCACUGAAGUCAACACUUCGUAGCAACAACGAUGAAGCUAAGGAAACACCGGCGCCAAAAUACAUCAUUCCAGCUAGAAGGAAUAUAGCUUUUGACACGGACAACGCUGGGAUUGACAUGAGUAUCCCUCCAUCGAGACCAAUACGUCAAAUACGACUGCCACAAAAGUUCAGAUAAGUGAAGAGAUGGUUUCUAUAUGGUUGUAUGAUGAAAUGAUGUAUGUACUGUUAAAUUAAAUUGUGUAUUGACUUUUUGUGUUGAUGUUAAAUGUGUAUAUAUCUUUGACGUGAAGUGAUGGUUUCUAGAUGGUUGUAUGAACUGUAAUAGUACAUAUGGCAUGUUUUGAAGAAACUGUAUGAAAUAAUGUAUGAACUGUUAAAUUAAAUUGUGUAUUGACUUUUUGUGUUGAUGUUAAAUGUGUAUAUAUCUUUGAAGUGAAAUGAAUUUAUUAACUGAUAGGAAUAUACAUAGAUGGAAGUUUGAAUAUUGUUAGAAUUAAAAUGUAUAUUGUGUUCAAAGGAUUAUUGAAUGUGUUCCGAGAAUUGCCUUUGAACUGGAACCGAAAUGAAUUGUGAGAUUAAUAUGCGAAAAAUCGUUCAAGAAAUCAAGACAUGCCUCUUUUCGGGUUGAUCUGUUCCUGCGAAAUGAAGGAGUGAUUUCGAUGAUAUCUUAAUAUGAAAUAACUGCAUUUGAAGUAAUAUGAAUUGGAAAUCAUCUGAUAGCAAAAGUAAUUCAUUGAUGAGUGUUGAAUUAUGAAAUUGAGUGAAAUGAAAGUCAUGUGAUGAGGCAACGUCAUUCUAAAUGUAUUGUCAAAUUGUGCUCUAAUAUUGUUAGGAUCGUUCAACAGUUUGAUAGAUUAUACGAUAUUGAUUUGUAUGACAAAUUAUUUUGGUGUUCAUCUUUUCAUGUAUACAUCUAUAAGUAUAUUUUGCAUUUAUUUUUGUUUUAAAAUAUAUAUGUAUGUUAUGUGAAAGUGAACAUGAUUGUUUGCAAUUGUUUCAUUAUAUUUAGGUUUAAACUUAACAAUAUGUAAUUUUGGAUUUGCAAGUGUAUUCAAUAUUUUUUUAAGCUCCCUAGUUCAAAUGUCGGGACGCUAUUUUUUAGCUGGGGGGGUAAUAUGUCAUAGGGUUACUUCAUUUAUUAAAUUGUGUAUAGAUUGUUAAGCAGUUUAGUGUUUGUUAGCCAGUUUUAAAACGGCUUCCGCCAAAACAUAAAUAAUAGAAAAGUCGCCGAUCAAAUAUUGCUUAUUGAAAGUCCAAUGUUCAAUGCGUUUAUAUUUAUAUUCGCGCAGGUAAUGAUGUCCAAGAGUUACAUUAAUAUAUAUUGAUUUUAUUUUGCAAUUAAUCCAUUAUAAUGCAAUACAGUAUUUGUUUAUUAUAUUGUUUUUCACUCAACUUAUUAUUCACUUGUGUCUAUUUAUAGA